UCUAGUGUAGCUCAGUGGUAGGGCACUUGCCUACCAUACGCAGGGCCCUGGGUUCAAUCCCCAGUACUACAC
This 72-nucleotide transfer RNA is filed under the name Ictidomys tridecemlineatus (thirteen-lined ground squirrel). RNAcentral describes it as "Spermophilus tridecemlineatus (thirteen-lined ground squirrel) tRNA". It matches the Rfam family "tRNA". From Rfam's summary of the family: Transfer RNA (tRNA) molecules are approximately 80 nucleotides in length. Their secondary structure includes four short double-helical elements and three loops (D, anti-codon, and T loops). The record is from Rfam by way of RNAcentral. Lineage: Eukaryota; Metazoa; Chordata; Mammalia; Rodentia; Sciuridae.